RNAcentral lists this ribosomal RNA (253 nucleotides) under uncultured bacterium. RNAcentral describes it as "partial 16S ribosomal RNA". It matches the Rfam family "Bacterial small subunit ribosomal RNA", at positions 524 to 776 of the family's 1533-position model. The record is from RNAcentral.
UACGUAGGGGGCUAGCGUUGUCCGGAAUCAUUGGGCGUAAAGCGCGUGUAGGCGGUCCGGUAAGUCCGCUGUGAAAGUCGGGGGCUCAACCCUCGGAUGCCGGUGGAUACUGUCGGGCUUGAGUACGGAAGAGGCGAGUGGAAUUCCUGGUGUAGCGGUGAAAUGCGCAGAUAUCAGGAGGAACACCAAUUGCGAAGGCGGUCCCCUGGGCAUGUCCUGACGCUGAGGAGCGAAAGCUAGGGGAGCAAACAGG